CCUACGGGAGGCUGCAGUGGGGAAUAUUGCACAAUGGGGGAAACCCUGAUGCAGCGACGCCGCGUGAGUGAAGAAGUAAUUCGUUAUGUAAAGCUCUAUCAGCAGGGAAGAAAAUGACGGUACCUGAGUAAGAAGCCGCGGCUAACUACGUGCCAGCAGCCGCGGUAAUACGUAGGGGGCAAGCGUUAUCCGGAUUUACUGGGUGUAAAGGGAGCGUAGACGGCAGUGCAAGUCUGGAGUGAAAGGCGGGGGCUCAACCCCCGGACUGCUCUGGAAACUGUACGGCUGGAGUGCAGGAGAGGUAAGUGGAAUUCCUAGUGUAGCGGUGAAAUGCGUAGAUAUUAGGAGGAACACCAGUGGCGAAGGCGGCUUGCUGGACUGUAACUGACGUUGAGGCUCGAAAGCGUGGGGAGCAAACAGGAUUAGAUACCCGAGUAGUC
This 440-nucleotide ribosomal RNA is filed under the name uncultured bacterium. Its description in RNAcentral is "partial 16S ribosomal RNA". It matches the Rfam family "Bacterial small subunit ribosomal RNA", at positions 338 to 795 of the family's 1533-position model. The record is from RNAcentral.